RNAcentral lists this ribosomal RNA (470 nucleotides) under uncultured Anoxybacillus sp. RNAcentral's name for it is "bacterial SSU rRNA". It matches the Rfam family "Bacterial small subunit ribosomal RNA", at positions 910 to 1382 of the family's 1533-position model. Lineage: Bacteria; Bacillati; Bacillota; Bacilli; Caryophanales; Anoxybacillaceae. The record is from RNAcentral.
UUGACGGGGCCGCACAAGCGGUGGAGCAUGUGGUUAAUUCGAAGCAACGCGAAGAACCUUACCAGGUCUUGACAUCCCCUGACAACCCGAGAGAUCGGGCGUUCCCCUUCGGGGGACAGGGUGACAGGUGGUGCAUGGUUGUCGUCAGCUCGUGUCGUGAGAUGUUGGGUUAAGUCCCGCAACGAGCGCAACCCUCGACCUUAGUUGCCAGCAUUCAGUUGGGCACUCUAAGGUGACUGCCGGCUAAAAGUCGGAGGAAGGUGGGGAUGACGUCAAAUCAUCAUGCCCCUUAUGACCUGGGCUACACACGUGCUACAAUGGGCGGUACAGAGGGUUGCCAAGCCGCGAGGUGGAGCCAAUCCCUUAAAGCCGAUCGUAGUCCGGAUCGUAGUCUGCAACUCGACUACGUGAAGUCGGAAUCGCUAGUAAUCGCAGAUCAGCAUGCUGCGGUGAACACGUUCCCGGGUCUU